Hylaeus anthracinus is the source of this 2781-nucleotide long non-coding RNA. RefSeq lists it as uncharacterized. The record is from RefSeq and is a predicted model, not a curated record. The transcript is spliced from 2 exons. NCBI's taxonomy places the organism in Eukaryota, Metazoa, Arthropoda, Insecta, Hymenoptera, Colletidae.
CGAACGGGAUUGGCCUCGAGCAUUCCAGCUGGGGGAUAGUGUUGUCGGGGACUUUGCGUGGAAGUAUUUGUAGCCUAAGGGUAUCUGGAUAUUGUUUGGUUGGAGCCCAGUACUUGAGGGUGACGUUUGAAUGGGGAAAUAAUUCGAGAGUGCUUGAAUAGACGGGCAGUUAAAUAAUAUUCGAGCAGUCAAGCUUCUAACAGUACUCUAGUAAUCAAAUAUUCCAACCUGUUAACAGCUAGAAAUCAAGCAACGACAAGUCCAUACAUAUAUGUAUACGCCGAACGCAGGGCAAAUGGUCCCGUUUUAAAUUUUACGAAAAACGACGAAGGAUUACAUUUUUAUUUAACAAAAAAGUUAUCAAUUCGUUUGUGUGACAUUAUUCGAAGCAUUUUGCAGCGUCUAAGGUUUACGAAUAUUCAAAAUUUCUACCAUUUGGUCACUUACAACCUGGAAUUAUUGUAGCGAGCCACAGUAAACCCACUCGGGCAUAAUUAGUGAACUAGUUCUUGAGAGAUUAAUGAGACCCAUAGACAUAACGUUUGUAUCCCGUGGUAAUUUGUGCAGCUAUGGUUGGCACUGGUGUUUGGACGACGAUUGAGGAGCUCGCAAGGGGGCCAUACAGUCGCACCCUCUGAGAAUUUGAUGACAUUUAGAGGGUUGAAACUGGAGGUCGAAUGACGAUGUCCUGUAGAAUAUUUUAUUUCAACGGUUGCUUCUAAUAAACAUUUAAAUCCUGUUAUACUUCUUGAUGCUUUUACAACCUACGUCAUUUAUCGAUUUGUCACAAUUAAUAUAAUUCGCUUAUUCCGGAUUUUCGAGGUCCCGCAGUAUCUUCAACGUGGGAAUGAUAUCCGCAAGGUUAUUAGUCCAAGUGCUGCACGAUUCCGUAGAGCGGUUUGCUCUUCCAUAGACUUGUUUAUCGAGUAUUUCGGAAAAUGCGAAACAGCGUGCAGUUAAAAAAUUGAGCAUAUGUACCGUUUUUUUAUUGAUUUGCUGUCUGUAGACCACCCUGCGAAAGCGUUUUACAUUGUUGCGAAAAUUUUAUAGAAAAGUACUAACUGUAAUCCAAUUUUACAGUAUGUGUAACUAUUGCAAAUGGUAAAUAUUAUUUACUGUACUCUAGAUUAUGAAACAUUAGUAAUUCGAAGUUUAAAAAGUGAUCAAGUGAUGGAGGACACGUGGGUAUUUAAAUAUAAUAGAUUUAUUAGAUAUUAACAAUUUUUACAGCACUCGUAUCUCGUUAAUCUUAAACAAUACACAACUAAUGAGUAGAUGUUAACGCUCCAGUCGACGGACUGGCGACGCACGUGGGUUACAUUACCACCUAAAUUAAGUACAAAUAAUCAAAUACCAGACUCAUCAGUACGUAUCUUGAACGCUUACCACGCGGUUAGAAUAUAUUUCAUCCAUUCAGUUUGGCAUUUUUAUGGUCAAUUUAUAUUAGCAUAUCGCAUGCAUGUAGACGAUUUAACGAUAUUUUUACAUUUUUUUAAAAAAAAAAGGUGAAAUUAAUACAUAUUCGAUUAUCGCGUUAAGUACAAUGUCGUUAAACUUGCAGUUCCUAUAGUUGGAUCAAAAAGAAAGGAGCACUCAAGCCAAUUCAUUGUCUUCCUGAAGUUCGUACAGUCAAAGUCAAAGCUUUCUAAAACGAUUACUUUUUGUGUAUUUUUUAAAAAUUAUUUCUUCAAUCAGAAACGGCAUCGAGCAACCAAUUUAAUUUGAUUCAACUAGAAUACACUUGAAAUACGCUCGACUCAUUCUACGUCUAGCGAUACUUCGUUUGACAACUCAACCAUUUUAACCCUUUGCGAUUCACCUAUGCUUAUUUUUGAUCAACACAAAUUUGAAGUUUCCUCAGGCAUUACUACCAACGCAUAGCCUGAUUGUUUCGGGGUGCAAAGGGUUAAAGCAGUCAAAGUUAACCGAGCGGUAACCACCUCAAAGGAUCACUCAAGAACACAGUCCGUUGAAUCACAUUUUCCUACUGGCGCCACCGCUAGCUGUCGGCUGCAGUUGAAUUUUCGGAGCCGCAAGAAAGAAAAAAAUUAUAAAACGCCCACGCCUGAUCGAGAGAGCGCGGAAAACUGAUACGUGCAUUGUUAAAGGGAGGCUUCGUACCGACGUGGACGCAAACAACGACGCGUACCAUCGGUUGAACACCGUUAAAAAUAAUCAAAUAAUAUGAGCAACCGAACAGUUAUAAAUAGAACGAUAUUAUUAUACAAUGGUUUUUACGUAGGUUUCUCAUACAUAUACAUAUAUAAAAUAAGUUCACGGGCCGAUGACAUUUACAUAAUACACACACGACACACACACAUGUAUUCAAACGCGUCUCUUAUAGAUCUACGGUUUUAUCAAUUCCUUACAGCUACGAUGGACGGUACGCUGACUGGUAAUAAUAAUUACCAUUUGAAUAUAAAUAUUAUUCAGAUAUUAUUAUAUUCAAAUGGUGCGAUGUGAUUGUGUUUCAGUUAUCAAACAUGGCCAAAGUUUCUGAAGCAAUUACAACCGGAUAUUUUUAAUUUUAUGUUUCGAUACCAUGUACAAAAUACGCUAGAUUCUUUGCUUAAUAUAUAGACUGAAGAAACACAGGGGUUGCUUGUUAUACUGUUGCAUAUAACCUGAUAUGGUUGGUUCGAAAACUAAAUAGUAAUGUGCAAGUGAUUUUAGUAAGUUUUUUCAUAUUUUUAUAUCUUUCCUUUUUACCAAUUAAGUCUCUAAAUAACCUCCUGAGGCCUUGUAACAUGAUCCAAAAUUUUACAAAAAAAAAAAAAAGAA